GGCCCGUCACCUCCCCCCGUGCAAAAGGCCAGCCGGCCCAUUGUCCAUUUUUCCUAGGACCGCCUCCCCCACUCUUUGUGCUUCCGCCGGGCUGGUAGCUGUUCCGUGGUGCCGGGUCCGGGUGCAGCGCUGGCGGCGGGCAGGAUGGGCUGCGAGCGGCCGGGAGCUCUGGGGCUGGGGCUGCUGCUGCUGGCGCUGGCCGGGGCGCGGGCGCAGUACGAGCGCUACAGCUUCAAGAGCUUUCCCCGGGACGAGCUGAUGCCGCUGGAGUCCGCCUAUCGCUACGGCCUGGACCAGUACAGCAGCGAGAACUGGCCCGAGAGCGUCAGCUACCUGGAGGUGAGCAUGCGGCUGCACCGCCUGCUGCGGGACAGCGAGGCCUUCUGCCACCUCAACUGCAGCGCUGCCCGUCUGCCGCCGCGCGGCUCCCCGGCCCGCUUCGCCGGCUUCCCGGAGCUGCGCCUCUUCGCGGACGUGCUGCUGCGGGCGCAGUGCCUCAAGCGCUGCAAGCAGGGGCUGCCCGCCUUCCGCCAGUCCCAGCCCAGCCGCGAGGUGCUCGACGAGUUCCAGAGGCGAGAGCCCUACAAGUUCCUGCAGUACGCCUACUACAAGGCUAAUAACUUUCCAAAAGCCAUUGCAGCAGCUCAUACGUUUCUGCUGAAGCACCCAAAUGACGAGAUGAUGCAGAGGAAUAUGGCUUAUUACAAGAGCAUGCCUGAUGCCGAGGAGUAUAUUAAAGACUUGGAGACAAAGCCAUAUGAGACUCUCUUUGUCAGGGCUGUGAGAGCAUACAAUGGGGAUAACUGGAGAACCUCCAUCUCCGAUAUGGAGCUGGCACUUCCUGAUUUCUUCAAAGCCUAUGAUGACUGCCUUGCAGCCUGUGAAGGUUCCCGGGAGAUCAAAGAUUUUAAAGAUUUUUAUCUUUCAAUAGCAGAUCACUACAUUGAAGUCCUUGAAUGCAAACUGCAGUGUGAAAUCAACCUGACGCCGGUCAUAGGAGGCUUUGUUGUGGAGAAGUUUGUGGCAACCAUGUACCAUUACUUACAGUUUGCCUAUUAUAAAUUGAAUGACAUGAAGAAUGCAGCCCCUUGUGUUGCUAGCUACAUGCUCUUUGACCAGAAAGAUGAAGUGAUGAAACAGAACAUGGUCUAUUAUCAGUACCAUAAAGACAAAUGGGGACUCACAGAGAAGGAUUUCCAGCCCAGACCAGAAGCAGUUCGAUAUUAUAACAUAACCACACUUCAGACGGAAAUGUAUGAAUUUGCAAAGCGGCAUAUAAUGGAUGAUGAUGAGGGUGAAGUUGUGGAAUUCCUUGAUGAACUCCUUGAAGUGGAUGAAAACAGUGAAUCCUGAUGAACAAAAACAAGGCAUAGUUUAAAAAAAAAUAAAGACCCACUGUUGUGCCUUCAUAUCAUCAUUUAUAGCUCAGAGAAUUUAUGUAUGCUUAGUACAAGAGAUCAGGAGAGGCUGCUACCCUGGAGUUAUCUCCUAUCCCCUGGCUCUCAAAGAUAUGUAUGGAAGGACAGUUUCCAACCUCUCCUAUCAGAAACUUGACAUCCAAGGUUAAGUCAUCUGCCCAAAUGUCUUCUCAAUGAGAUUCUCAGCGUCUCUUUCAGAAAUCACGUGAGUGAUAUGGGGCUGUUCUGGGAAAGAUACUUCCAUGCAUGUUGUCUUGUUCUUGUUAAUUAUGUUUUCAAUUCUUCUGCCCCUGUUGUUGUGUCUUUUCGUAAACCUACAUUGUGAGGUCAGUGGAGCAUGGACGGUCUUCCUGUUACUUGUUUGUAUGGUGCCUGGCACAAUGAGCCUUAAUCUUUGAGUGGAGCCUGUAGGUGCUACUGUAAUACAAAAAUAAAUAAAUAAAGUGCCUUAAAGACCUCUUCA
Gopherus evgoodei (Goodes thornscrub tortoise) is the source of this 1881-nucleotide RNA transcript. It is a transcript of the gene named cartilage associated protein, with no coding region annotated. Lineage: Eukaryota; Metazoa; Chordata; Testudines; Testudinidae. The transcript is spliced from 8 exons. The record is from RefSeq and is a predicted model, not a curated record.